This 707-nucleotide ribosomal RNA is filed under the name uncultured Bacteroidota bacterium. RNAcentral describes it as "bacterial SSU rRNA". It matches the Rfam family "Bacterial small subunit ribosomal RNA", at positions 62 to 770 of the family's 1533-position model. The record is from RNAcentral. Lineage: Bacteria; Pseudomonadati; Bacteroidota.
UCGAGGGGUAUGGUUCUUCGGAACCAGAGACCGGCGCACGGGUGCGUAACGCGUAUGCAAUCUACCUUUUACAGAGGGAUAGCCCAGAGAAAUUUGGAUUAAUACCUCAUAGUAUUACGACUCGGCAUCGAGAUGUAAUUAAAGUCACAACGGUAAAAGAUGAGCAUGCGUCCCAUUAGCUAGUUGGUAAGGUAACGGCUUACCAAGGCAACGAUGGGUAGGGGUCCUGAGAGGGAGAUCCCCCACACUGGUACUGAGACACGGACCAGACUCCUACGGGAGGCAGCAGUGAGGAAUAUUGGUCAAUGGGCGCAAGCCUGAACCAGCCAUGCCGCGUGCAGGAUGAAGCAUCUAUGGUGUGUAAACUGCUUUUGUACGAGAAGAAACACUCCUACGUGUAGGAGCUUGACGGUAUCGUAAGAAUAAGGACCGGCUAACUCCGUGCCAGCAGCCGCGGUAAUACGGAGGGUUCAAGCGUUAUCCGGAAUCAUUGGGUUUAAAGGGUCUGUAGGCGGUUUUGUAAGUCAGUGGUGAAAGCCCAUCGCUCAACGGUGGAACGGCCAUUGAUACUGCAAGACUUGAAUUAUUGGGAAGUAACUAGAAUAUGUAGUGUAGCGGUGAAAUGCUUAGAGAUUACAUGGAAUACCAAUUGCGAAGGCAGGUUACUACCAAUAUAUUGACGCUGAUGGACGAAAGCGUGGGGAGCG